This is a microRNA precursor of Oryza rufipogon (brownbeard rice), 208 nucleotides long. It matches the Rfam family "MIR812 microRNA precursor family". The record is from Rfam. NCBI's taxonomy places the organism in Eukaryota, Viridiplantae, Streptophyta, Magnoliopsida, Poales, Poaceae.
AAUAAAUGUAGUUUUACACUAUUCACGUUCAACGUUUGACCGUUCGUCUUAUUUGAAAAUUUUUUAUGAUUAGUAUUUUUAUUGCUAUUAGAUGAUAAAACAUGAAUAGUACUUUAUGCAUGACUAAAUAUUUUUAAAUUUUUCAUAAAUUUUUCAAAUAAGACGGACGGUCAAACGUUGAGCACGGAUAUCCACGGCUACACUUAUU